UACGUAGGGAGCAAGCGUUGUCCGGAAUCAUUGGGCGUAAAGAGCGCGUAGGCGGCCGUGUAAGUCCGCUCUGAAAGUCAAAGGCUCAACCUUUGAAAGCGGGUGGAUACUGCACGGCUAGAGUCCGGAAGAGGCGAGUGGGAAUUCCUGGUGUAGCGGUGGAAUGCGCAGAUAUCAGGAGGAACACCAACGGCGAAGGCAGCUCGCUGGGACGGUACUGACGCUGAGGCGCGAAAGCGUGGGGGAGCAAACAGG
RNAcentral lists this ribosomal RNA (255 nucleotides) under uncultured bacterium. Its description in RNAcentral is "partial 16S ribosomal RNA". It matches the Rfam family "Bacterial small subunit ribosomal RNA", at positions 524 to 776 of the family's 1533-position model. The record is from RNAcentral.